ACUCCUGCGGGAGGCAGCAGUGGGGAAUAUUGCACAAUGGGCGCAAGCCUGAUGCAGCCAUGCCGCGUGUAUGAAGAAGGCCUUCGGGUUGUAAAGUACUUUCAGCGGGGAGGAAGGCAAUACGGUUAAUAACCGUGUUGAUUGACGUUACCCGCAGAAGAAGCACCGGCUAACUCCGUGCCAGCAGCCGCGGUAAUACGGAGGGUGCAAGCGUUAAUCGGAAUUACUGGGCGUAAAGCGCACGCAGGCGGUCUGUCAGGUCGGAUGUGAAAUCCCCGGGCUCAACCUGGGAACUGCAUUCGAAACUGGCAGGCUUGAGUCUUGUAGAGGGGGGUAGAAUUCCAGGUGUAGCGGUGAAAUGCGUAGAGAUCUGGAGGAAUACCGGUGGCGAAGGCGGCCCCCUGGACAAAGACUGACGCUCAGGUGCGAAAGCGUGGGGAGCAAACAGGAUUAGAAACCCGUGUAGUCCC
RNAcentral lists this ribosomal RNA (470 nucleotides) under uncultured organism. RNAcentral's name for it is "partial 16S ribosomal RNA". It matches the Rfam family "Bacterial small subunit ribosomal RNA", at positions 335 to 797 of the family's 1533-position model. The record is from RNAcentral.